GGCUCGGUAGCUGAGUUGGAAAAGCGCUUGUGUAGGAUACAAGAGUCCUGGGUUCAACUCCCAGCCGAGCAU
Molecule: non-coding RNA, 72 nt
Organism: Aedes aegypti (yellow fever mosquito)
Lineage: Eukaryota; Metazoa; Arthropoda; Insecta; Diptera; Culicidae
Source: Rfam